UGCUAGCAGUUUGGCAGCCAUAAGGUUUUC
This 30-nucleotide non-coding RNA is filed under the name Mus musculus (house mouse). The record is from RNAcentral. Lineage: Eukaryota; Metazoa; Chordata; Mammalia; Rodentia; Muridae.